Meriones unguiculatus (Mongolian gerbil) is the source of this 132-nucleotide small nucleolar RNA. The record is from Ensembl. NCBI's taxonomy places the organism in Eukaryota, Metazoa, Chordata, Mammalia, Rodentia, Muridae.
CCUAUUCUUAGAGUCAUUGCAGGUGUGGCUGCUGUGUCACAUGUGCAUAAGUGUGUGGCAGAGAGAAGAGAGGCUUUGUCUAUGCUCAGUGGCCUGGCCAUUGAACAUCUACAUAAUCAGUAGCCUAACAUU